UCACAAUACACUCAACUAUUUUAUUAAAACUCGUAUCACUCUCAAACGGGAAUGAAAUUGGAGAAUAGUAUAAAUCAAGUAUCCAGGAACAUAUUAAUGACCAAUAAUCUCCAUAGGCUGAAAUCAGAGAUGAUUAUAGACAAUGCUCAAAUCGUUAAAGUAAGUAUGAAUCUGGGACAUAUUAAUGACCAAUAAUCUCCAUAGGCUGAAUCCUGUAUACGAGGGCAAUAGGUAGCUACAUAUACAAAAUUUCAAAACAGCAGUAAACACAGAAGAUCUCAAAUCAGGUCUAGUAUUUGAUCUGCUUUUAUAAAAGGUAGGGCAAAAUGUAAAGUAACGUACUGUCAUUAGUCGUACGGGAUCUGAAUGUAAGCCGCAUCGCACACGAACGGAAUGUCGGAAUACAUCCCAGCAAGGGCACACCUUAUGCACUCCAACACUGUGAACAAAUACGCAAACGCCAUAGCAGUCCAGAAAUGCAUUCCAACCUUGCCCCAGUAUACGGCAAGUGGCAUCCAUCGACUCACGGUUCCAAUAACCUGCAAGGCAAUCUCCAGCAACAUGCCCAUAACCACAUGGAAUCUAAAGAAAUGGGGCCACUCCUUUCGUCUCACGACUCCAAGGUAAGCAACAAAGAAGUAUGCCAUCAGAAACCAGCUUGGUAGCCUCCCUAAUGCUCCCAAGAAAGGAUAAGUCACAAACUCAAAAUCCUCGAGGAAAGGAUGUAGGUGAUACGCUGUUUCAGCAUACAUCCAUGUCUCGUGUAGAGGCAUCAGAUACGGGAGGCAGGCCAAGGUUCUCCACCACCAUCUCGGCUUCUUUGUCAUAGCAGGGUACCGGUAACUGGAAGGCACAUCUUUGGACGCUCUUGGAGCCAACGACUGCCGAUGCCUCGUAGGAAAUUUGGGAAUAGUGUGAAACAAACUCCCUUGUUCUCCAUGUAAGAGUGGUGAUGAUGCAGCAGAAAGACACAAGUGCUGGAUGC
RNAcentral lists this long non-coding RNA (985 nucleotides) under Salvia miltiorrhiza (redroot sage). RNAcentral's name for it is "long non-coding RNA (SMIL_LNC005410)". The record is from RNAcentral. Lineage: Eukaryota; Viridiplantae; Streptophyta; Magnoliopsida; Lamiales; Lamiaceae.